Molecule: ribosomal RNA, 497 nt
Filed under: uncultured bacterium
Lineage: Bacteria
Description: partial 16S ribosomal RNA
Rfam family: Bacterial small subunit ribosomal RNA
Source: RNAcentral
GAUGAACGCUGGCGGCGUGCCUAAUACAUGCAAGUCGAACGAAAAGACGCGGCUCUUGCUCCUCUGACGUUAGCCGCAGGCGUGAGUGAAACACGUGGAUCACCUCCCUAUCUGUCUGAGAUAACUUCGGGACACCGGCGCUAAUACCGUAUAAUCUCUUGAUGCGCGUGGUUCAUUGGUAAAAGACGGUUUUGCUGUAACUUAUAGAUGGAUCUGGGCUGCAUUGGCUGGUUGGUAAGGUCACGGCUUACCAAGGCAACGAUGCGUAGCCGACCUGAGAGGGUGAUCGGCCACCCGGGAACUGAGACGCGGACAAGGCUCCUACGGGAGGCAGCAGUAGGGAAUGUGCCGCAGUAGGCGAAAGCCUGACGGAACAGCGCGGCGUGAGUUAUGAAGGUCUUGGGAGCGGAAAGCCCGGUUAUGGGGGGUAAACAAAUGUGGAAGUAACUAUAGACUUCGUGACGGUAACUGGUCAGAAAGCAACGGCUAACUACGUG